ACCAAGUAUGGCGGCUCACACCUGUAAUCUGAGCUACUAAGGAGAUUGAAAUUGGUGGGUCUCUUAGGUUCAGGAGUUCUGACCUGUAGUCUGCUAUGCUGAUUAAAUGUUAGCACAAAGUUCAGCAUUAAUAAGGUAGAUAUUUUUGGACUAGGAUACCACAGGUUGUCCAAGGAGGAGCAAACAGGCCCAGGUUGGAAACAGAGCAGGUUAAAGUUCCCAAGCUGAUCAGUAGGAGGAUCAGACCAGUGAGUAGUCCCGGUACUUAUCGCCUGAGAGAGACAGGGACACCCAGUCCUU
RNAcentral lists this signal recognition particle RNA (300 nucleotides) under Phascolarctos cinereus (koala). RNAcentral describes it as "Metazoan signal recognition particle RNA (ENSPCIG00000002159.2)". It matches the Rfam family "Metazoan signal recognition particle RNA". Rfam says of the family: The signal recognition particle (SRP) is a universally conserved ribonucleoprotein. Lineage: Eukaryota; Metazoa; Chordata; Mammalia; Diprotodontia; Phascolarctidae. The record is from Rfam by way of RNAcentral.